Long non-coding RNA from Gopherus evgoodei (Goodes thornscrub tortoise), 544 nucleotides. RefSeq lists it as uncharacterized. The record is from RefSeq and is a predicted model, not a curated record. The transcript is spliced from 3 exons. NCBI's taxonomy places the organism in Eukaryota, Metazoa, Chordata, Testudines, Testudinidae.
GGAACCGUGGCAGUCGACUCACCGCCAUGAGGACAGCCAGGCUAAGCUGAAAGAUGGAACAGAGUGUCUCGGAGAGACAACCCACCAUCACCCCGACUGCAGACUUCGAUGUAAUGGGUGCCUUAGACUGGAAAGACGGCAUUGCUACCUUGCCAGGUAGCAACAUACAAGAAAGAAACCAAGGAACAGGGUGCUGAACAUUUACAGCUUCAACUGAAGUGAAUUGGAGCGGUGGGAACUUAGAGCCUCUGAAAAUCAGGCUCAACACAUCUCAAAUUAAGUAUCCAUUCCAAAAUCAGUGGCCUAACUGGAAAACAUUGGUCUUUUUCUUUCACUUUUCCCCUUCCCCUUUUCUUUGAAAAAUCUGCAACUUGGUCCUUCAAAGCUUACUUCAGUCUAUGAAGCAAAUUCUUCCAUGCUGUAUCUCCACAGAAGUGAAAAGAAUAAGUGCAUGCAUGACCCUGUGUGUCUGAAGUGUUUUGAUUAACAUAUGGGACCUGAAAUCAAUGGGAAUUAUACUGACAUAAAACCUGAGUAAUACAGA